RNAcentral lists this ribosomal RNA (583 nucleotides) under uncultured beta proteobacterium. Its description in RNAcentral is "bacterial SSU rRNA". It matches the Rfam family "Bacterial small subunit ribosomal RNA", at positions 338 to 909 of the family's 1533-position model. Lineage: Bacteria; Pseudomonadati; Pseudomonadota; Betaproteobacteria. The record is from RNAcentral.
CCUACGGGAGGCAGCAGUGGGGAAUUUUGGACAAUGGGCGAAAGCCUGAUCCAGCCAUGCCGCGUGAAGUGAAGAAGGCCUUCGGGUUGUAAAGCUCUUUUAGUCGGAAAGAAAGAGUUGCAAUGAAUAAUUGUGAUUUAUGACGGGUACCGGACAGAAAAAGCACCGGCUAACUACGUGCCAGCAGCCGCGGUAAUACGUAGGGUGCGAGCGUUAAUCGGAAUUACUGGGCGUAAAGGGUGCGCAGGCGGUCUUGCAAGUCAGAUGUGAAAGCCCCGGGCUUAACCUGGGAAUUGCGUUUGAAACUACAAGGCUAGAGUGCAGCAGAGGGGAGUGGAAUUCCAUGUGUAGCAGUGAAAUGCGUAGAGAUGUGGAAGAACACCGAUGGCGAAGGCAGCUCCCUGGGUCGACACUGACGCUCAUGCACGAAAGCGUGGGGAGCAAACAGGAUUAGAUACCCUGGUAGUCCACGCCCUAAACGAUGUCAACUAGUUGUCGGAUCUAAUUAAGGAUUUGGUAACGUAGCUAACGCGUGAAGUUGACCGCCUGGGGAGUACGGUCGCAAGAUUAAAACUCAAAGGAA